RNAcentral lists this non-coding RNA (28 nucleotides) under Mus musculus (house mouse). RNAcentral also lists the same sequence under 1 other name. The record is from RNAcentral. Lineage: Eukaryota; Metazoa; Chordata; Mammalia; Rodentia; Muridae.
UGUCAUAGUUCUCUGAGACUCAGAAAAA